Molecule: ribosomal RNA, 481 nt
Filed under: uncultured bacterium
Lineage: Bacteria
Description: bacterial SSU rRNA
Rfam family: Bacterial small subunit ribosomal RNA
Source: RNAcentral
GAUGAACGCUGGCGGCGUGCCUAACACAUGCAAGUCGAGCGAUUCUCUUCGGAGAAGAGCGGCGGACGGGUGAGUAACGCGUGGGUAACCUGCCCUGUACACACGGAUAACAUACCGAAAGGUAUGCUAAUACGAGAUAAUAUGCUUUUAUCGCAUGGUAGAAGUAUCAAAGCUUUUGCGGUACAGGAUGGACCCGCGUCUGAUUAGCUAGUUGGUAAGGUAACGGCUUACCAAGGCGACGAUCAGUAGCCGACCUGAGAGGGUCGAUCGGCCACAUUGGAACUGAGACACGGUCCAAACUCCUACGGGAGGCAGCAGUGGGGAAUAUUGCACAAUGGGCGAAAGCCUGAUGCAGCAACGCCGCGUGAGCGAUGAAGGCCUUCGGUCGUAAGCUCUGUCUCAAGGAAGAUAAUAGACGGUACUUGAGGAGGAAGGCCCCGGCGUAACUACGUGCCAGCAGCCGCGGUAAAAGUACACGUCG